Molecule: long non-coding RNA, 2696 nt
Filed under: Heterocephalus glaber (naked mole-rat)
Lineage: Eukaryota; Metazoa; Chordata; Mammalia; Rodentia; Bathyergidae
Description: lncRNA (ENSHGLG00000044276.1)
Source: RNAcentral
AGCAGCUGCACACCUUUGCAGCCCCAGCUCAGCCAGCGGUCAGCCCUGGCUAGCCCAGCCUCCCUCCUUCACCUGCUGGCCCUGGAGCCCUCUGAAGGCCUAGUUCAUCCCCUCCGCAGCUCCUCCUCAGAGCUUGCUGGGCACUGGGAUACUGGUUUCGCUGCCAGAGGCCCUGUUGGCUUGGCUCUGCCCUCCCCCUGGUCCCUCACUACUUGCUGGCCACAGAGCCAGUGCCUAUAGCUGCCACCCCAAGACACCCCUUCCUGACCAGCCUGUGUGAUUUCUCUCUGCAGGGUUCCCCUAGGGGUCAUCGCCCUUCCUCAAGGGUGUUUCUGCCAAAGCAUUCACUUCCUAAAGUACUUCUUGGUCCACAAAGGACGGAACCUGUAUCCGGAGGGUCCAGUGAAAUCCUGCGUGAAAUGUGUGGUGCUGUGCACCAAUGCUUCCCUCCACCUGGUGACAGCCAGUGGCACACAGGGACCCACCAGCAGGGUGCUCGUGACCAGACCUGUGAAGCACCUGGAUGAAGCCAUCUGUACAGUGGCCCCCGUCUCCACCUUGCCUGGCAUGGUGCUGAUCUUUGCCAGGAACGGCUCUGUGAACCUCAUGGACGUGGCCAAGGCUGAAGCCAUCUGUGCCUUCGCUCCCCCCCCAGAGCCCCCACCUGGCGGUCCCCUGGAAGCCGCUGUUUGUUGUAUCUUUACACCACCCUUGCUUCCUGCUCUAUGGCGACCCUCCAGGUGAAGAGCCCACCAGUGAUGCCAAGGACACCCGAAUUCUGUUUUCUGUUUUAAUUUUGAGGCCUACCCACUUCUGGAAAAUGUUUCCCAAAAUCAUACCAUUCCCCAAGAGGACUCAACAGAGAACAUGGUGUUGCCACUGGAGAAAAGAUGCGAACUUAUGCUCCGGAAGAGACGGGCAGGAAAGGAGUCAUUCAGGCUGGCAGGAAAGGAAGGCUUCAGCUGAAUGUCUUCUCCUUGCAACCAUAUUUUCUCUUUUAUUUUCUUGAUUCAUUUUUUCAAAAGGAUAUUUAGAUUCGUAGGCAGGGGUUAGGACAGGGGUUGGCAAACUGUGAUCGUAUUUGACCCACUGCCCAGUUUUGAAAAUGAGAUUGUUUUGGUUUGGUUUUGGUGCUGGGGAUUGAAACCACAACCUUGCACAUGCGAAGGCAAGUUGCUGAGCCACCAGGGCAGACCCCAGCCCCUUGUAAAUAAAGUUUUAUUCAAACAUAAUCCUGCCCCUUUGUUCACUGUCAUUAUGGCUGCUAUAUGCUACAACAGCAGAGAUGAAGAGUGGCAACAAAGACCACAUGACCUGUACAGCUGACUUAUUCAUUCUCUGGCCUUCUAUCAAAAAAGUUUGCCACUGCUGGUCUGAGACACUUUCCUUUACCCAUCACCUAGACCAGUGAUGGCAAACCUAUGGCACGCAUGCCACAGCGGGCUGUUUGUAUCAUUGGAAGCUCUAAAAUGUUCACCACCACUGACCUCGACAAUGGUCAUGCAUAGACAGACAUCUCCUCUCCCUGCUCCCCCUUACCCCCAAAGCUUGCUUGCUUUCUGUCCCCCUGCCAGGCCAGUACAAUGAUCUGGCCUCAGUCAUCUUGGAGCAGCCAGGUUUCUCCUAAUCCAUCUCACAAUGAGCUGCUGGGGAUUUGCAUGAUAACACACAGAAAGUGGCAGGCACAGGGUGGUUUCUUUUUUCUUUUUCUUUUUUUCCCCAGUACCUGGGAUCGAACUCAGGACCUUGCACUUGCAAGGCAGGUGCAGUGCCACUGAGCUAAAUCCCCAGUUUCUUAAUAAAUGGUGGAUAGGGCAAAGAUCCCUCCUUGUUAAUCCAAAAUGCCUGGGGGAGCCCGAUGUGGAGGCGCACGGAGGGUCAUCACGAGUUCGAGGCCAGCCUGGACUGCAUAGUGAGGGCAAGGCCAGCCUAGACUACACAGGGAGACCCUGCCUCAAAAACAAAAUACCUGGGGGAAUUCUAGAUAUCACCACUAGGUGGCAGCACAGAUCAUCUUUGCUUUGCAGCUCAGCAUUUAACCUGUCUCCUCUCCCUUCCGCUUCUCUCCUCCCCUCCCCUCCUCUCCUUUCCUUUCCUUUGGAGGGGAAGGGUACUGGGGGAUGGAACCCAGGCCUUGAGCAAGCUAAGCAAGCGCUCUGCCACCGAGCUGCACCCCCCGCCCUCCGAGCUGCUACAGUUAUGCCCUUCCUACGUGGUGCCAGGCUGCCGGGAGGAAGCUGGCUCGUUCCUCGGGAGAGAAGUCUGUCUCCUGAGUCCUGGGGGGCGGCAGAGAGAAGUCGGAGAAGGAGACCGCCCCCUAGUAAAGAUUUUCGGACAAGCCUGGGCUAUUCUUCACGUGGGGGCUUUCUAUUCUAGCCCUUGAUGACUUCCUCUUAGACACAGCUGAAGAAUUUAGGAGAAAGUAUCAUAAUGUCUACAACUUCUUUCUUUCUUUUUUAAUUAGGACAACCUUUUGUUCCCAAAUUUACAACUUCUUUUCAAGUGGCCUGGGAAAAUAUUUAUAGACACAGUUAAAAUUUAACAGAUGGUGAAAUCUAGGAAAAUAUUUAUGGGGAGAGAGAUAAAACAUUAACAACUGGUGAAUCUAGGUGAAGGUUCAUUUCUGUAGGUUUGAAAAUUUUCAAAAUAAUGCCAGGUGUGGUGGCCCACACCUGUAAUCCCAGCACUCAAGAGGC